RNAcentral lists this ribosomal RNA (253 nucleotides) under uncultured soil bacterium. RNAcentral describes it as "partial 16S ribosomal RNA". It matches the Rfam family "Bacterial small subunit ribosomal RNA", at positions 26 to 285 of the family's 1533-position model. The record is from RNAcentral.
AGGACGAACGCUGGCGGCGUGCUUAACACAUGCAAGUCGAGCGGUAAGGCCUUUCGGGGUACACGAGCGGCGAACGGGUGAGUAACACGUGGGUGAUCUGCCCUGCACUCUGGGAUAAGCCUGGGAAACUGGGUCUAAUACCGGAUAUGACCUGCUCUCGCAUGGGGGUGGGUGGAAAGAUUUAUCGGUGCAGGAUGGGCCCGCGGCCUAUCAGCUUGUUGGUGGGUAAUGGCCUACCAAGGCGACGACGGUA